CAGUGGCUGCUUUGAUUUGGCCGUAAGUGGUCUGACCAUCAAGGUCACCAUCAGUGUGGGCAGCGACGAAACAGGACGACCCACCGUAAGCAGCAAUGGCUGCGUGGCCAGCGUGGGUGAUGUCAGUAUCACAUUUCAUGGAGGGGCCAGUUGGUUGUAUAACCUUUUUACAAGCUUCAUUGAUCAAGCUUUGCGAGAUUCUUUACAGAACCAGAUUUGCCCUCUGGUGCAUGACGCCAUAUCUGAUAUAAACCCCCAACUGAAAACUCUGAAUGUGCUAGCUACAGUGGAUAAGUAUGCUGAAAUUGAGUACUC
This is a non-coding RNA of Paramormyrops kingsleyae, 315 nucleotides long. NCBI's taxonomy places the organism in Eukaryota, Metazoa, Chordata, Actinopteri, Osteoglossiformes, Mormyridae. The record is from RefSeq and is a predicted model, not a curated record.